AACGUAGGAGACGAGCGUUAUUCGGAUUUACUGGGCGUAAAGCGCAUGCAGGUGGUAUGGCAAGUUGGAUGUGAAAGCUCCUGGCUUAACUAGGAGAGGUCAUUCAAAACUGCCAAACUUGAGAAUAGGAGAGGGAGGUGGAAUUCCGGGUGUAGUGGUGAAAUGCGUAGAUAUCCGGAGGAACACCAGUGGCGAAAGCGACCUCCUGGCCUAUUUCUGACACUCAGACGCGAAAGCUAGGGUAGCAAACGGG
This 253-nucleotide ribosomal RNA is filed under the name uncultured bacterium. Its description in RNAcentral is "partial 16S ribosomal RNA". It matches the Rfam family "Bacterial small subunit ribosomal RNA", at positions 524 to 776 of the family's 1533-position model. The record is from RNAcentral.